This is a long non-coding RNA of Aegilops tauschii subsp. strangulata, 716 nucleotides long. RefSeq lists it as uncharacterized. Lineage: Eukaryota; Viridiplantae; Streptophyta; Magnoliopsida; Poales; Poaceae. The record is from RefSeq and is a predicted model, not a curated record.
UUUCUACGACGAGUAAGAGUUACGUUGUAGGGUUACGGUCUACACUCAACUUGACGUUGGCGUUGAUGGGACUCCACACCCGUUCGAUUAUUUCCGCUGAGACCUAUGAGCAUACCGAUCCAGGGAUGGCACAGAUACACAGAUGCUUGAUCGGUUGAGGUCGGCUCGCUACAUGCUGCCUAAAUUGGAUACAUUUAUUUUUCUUACAAAUGAAUGGCCCAAGAAGGACAAGAAGGAUGAACAUUGGAGCAUGAUCAAGCAUGGAGAGGAUGGCACGCGCAAGUGGAACAAGAACGGAGUUUUCGGUGGAUUUUUCAGCACUUUGAAGCCACCAUGAUGACAUACGAGGACAUGGACGAAAUAUAGAACAUGGCCUUUCAUAAAUUUCGUCCAUUGCUUAAUAUAGAUGUUGCGCCACCUUAUUUUUGGGCCAGGCCCAUGUAAUUUUGAAAUAUACUUAAUAGGCUAUUUUUGGAGCCCGUAUUAAUAGGGAAAAUGACUUAGGACAGAAUUUAGUCCCACCUUACGAAGGGUGGACGAAAUUCCCCUCUGUAUCCCUAUAAAUACAACCCUUAGGGUGUCGUUUUAGACUUGGGUUUUGUUUAGAUUAAAGUUCGCCAUACUGCAAUGCGUGUACUUCUUUUGUGUCCAAUGACCAGGCGAAGACGUUUUAGAACCCUGCUUUGAUCAAUAAAGCUUUCCUCUUAAAUUCGCAA